CGCGGUCUUCAAACUGUUGAUGCUCUAGUUCUACUUCUAGUGUGAAACACUUCCUUGUUUGGGGACCUUUUGUUGUCUGAUGAAAAAACACCUCACCGGAACUCUCAAGGUGUUCUACACGCAGUUCAUCGGACAAACCGCUAGAUGGGGACCGAGUGCAUAUUCUAUCACCUGCGUCCAUCAUAUCAGACUAUUAUUCUGGACCAUGAUGCGAACCGAUGCCAGCCGUUGUUCUGUUGGGCCAGAGGAGGAAGUGAUGUCAGAUGGAGGGGAGGAAGUGAUGUCAGAUGGAGGGGAACAUGGCAAAGCUCCUCGACCUAAAGACCAAGCGUAGACACUUAGAUAUAAUUACCGGCCUGUUCGUCUAUCUGUCUGUGUCUAUCUGUCUGCCUCUCUGUCGGCCUCUCUGUCUGUAACGCUGUCCGUUCUCUGUCAGUCCUUCUCUCUUUGUCUACAUUCCUGUCUACCUGUCUGUCUAUCUGUCUGUCUUUCUGUGUCUACCUGUCUGUAUCUCUCUCUACAAAUCAUCCUCCGCCAACUUCCAGAAAAUAACUUCCUUCUUUGAGUAUUUUGA
Gadus macrocephalus (Pacific cod) is the source of this 574-nucleotide long non-coding RNA. RefSeq lists it as uncharacterized. The record is from RefSeq and is a predicted model, not a curated record. Lineage: Eukaryota; Metazoa; Chordata; Actinopteri; Gadiformes; Gadidae. The transcript is spliced from 3 exons.